RNAcentral lists this ribosomal RNA (715 nucleotides) under uncultured beta proteobacterium. RNAcentral's name for it is "bacterial SSU rRNA". It matches the Rfam family "Bacterial small subunit ribosomal RNA", at positions 47 to 757 of the family's 1533-position model. Lineage: Bacteria; Pseudomonadati; Pseudomonadota; Betaproteobacteria. The record is from RNAcentral.
CCUUACACAUGCAAGUCGAACGGCAGCACGGACUUCGGUCUGGUGGCGAGUGGCGAACGGGUGAGUAAUAUAUCGGAACAUACCCAGUAGUGGGGGAUAACUAUCCGAAAGGAUAGCUAAUACCGCAUACGAUCUGUGGAUGAAAGCAGGGGAUCUUCGGACCUUGUGCUAUUGGAAUGGCCGAUAUCUGAUUAGCUAGUUGGUAGGGUAAAAGCCUACCAAGGCGACGAUCAGUAGCUGGUCUGAGAGGACGACCAGCCACACUGGAACUGAGACACGGUCCAGACUCCUACGGGAGGCAGCAGUGGGGAAUUUUGGACAAUGGGGGCAACCCUGAUCCAGCAAUGCCGCGUGAGUGAAGAAGGCCCUCGGGUUGUAAAGCUCUUUUGUCAGGGAAGAAACGGAGUUCUCUAAUAUAGGAUUCUAAUGACGGUACCUGAAGAAUAAGCACCGGCUAACUACGUGCCAGCAGCCGCGGUAAUACGUAGGGUGCAAGCGUUAAUCGGAAUUACUGGGCGUAAAGCGUGCGCAGGCGGUUUUGUAAGUCUGAUGUGAAAUCCCCGGGCUCAACCUGGGAACUGCAUUGGAGACUGCAAGGCUAGAGUGUGUCAGAGGGGGGUAGAAUUCCACGUGUAGCAGUGAAAUGCGUAGAGAUGUGGAGGAAUACCGAUGGCGAAGGCAGCCCCCUGGGAUAACACUGACGCUCAUGCACGAA